CCUACGGGGGGCAGCAGUGGGGAAUAUUGCACAAUGGGCGCAAGCCUGAUGCAGCCAUGCCGCGUGUGUGAAGAAGGCCUUCGGGUUGUAAAGCACUUUCAGCGGGGAGGAAGGCGUUAAGGUUAAUAACCUUGGCGAUUGACGUUACCCGCAGAAGAAGCACCGGCUAACUCCGUGCCAGCAGCCGCGGUAAUACGGAGGUUGCAAGCGUUAAUCGGAAUUACUGGGCGUAAAGCGCACGCAGGCGGUCUGUCAAGUCGGAUGUGAAAUCCCCGGGCUCAACCUGGGAACUGCAUUCGAAACUGGCAGGCUAGAGUCUUGUAGAGGGGGGUAGAAUUCCAGGUGUAGCGGUGAAAUGCGUAGAGAUCUGGAGGAAUACCGGUGGCGAAGGCGGCCCCCUGGACAAAGACUGACGCUCAGGUGCGAAAGCGUGGGGAGCAAACAGGAUUAGAUACCCGAGUAGUC
RNAcentral lists this ribosomal RNA (465 nucleotides) under uncultured Klebsiella sp. RNAcentral describes it as "bacterial SSU rRNA". It matches the Rfam family "Bacterial small subunit ribosomal RNA", at positions 338 to 795 of the family's 1533-position model. The record is from RNAcentral. Lineage: Bacteria; Pseudomonadati; Pseudomonadota; Gammaproteobacteria; Enterobacterales; Enterobacteriaceae.